Molecule: long non-coding RNA, 4780 nt
Organism: Ctenopharyngodon idella (grass carp)
Lineage: Eukaryota; Metazoa; Chordata; Actinopteri; Cypriniformes; Xenocyprididae
Exons: 7
Source: RefSeq, a predicted model, not a curated record
UGUGUUCUCUGUAAUGUCUAUACCUACAACUGAAGUUACCCUCUCUACCCUCAGGUAACAUCACCACCCUCUGCCAUGUUCCAGAAUUCAUUCCCACCACUCGCAGCUCCAGCAGUAGAUGAGACCUCACAAGUGGUUUCAGAUCAGGUGGCAUCCACAUCCUCUGCCAUAUCCAUGAAUUCAUUCCCACCACUCUCAAUUGCUCCAGUACAAGAUGAGACCGCGCCUGUGGCUGAGAGUACCCAAGCUCAAAGUGUGGUUGCAAAUCAGGCUCUUCAAGAAUGGCGAGCAAUACACAUUUCAGGCUAUUGAGGCAAGACGUCAGUGAAUGUCUGCAUGUGAGGAACCCUCAGAUGGGGUGUUGAUCAAAUUUAAAUAUCCAAAUGGAUACACCAAUAUGAGGAAAUUCAGCUUGUCGGAGCCAAUCCAGAUCUUGUUUGACUUUGUGGGACAAGAUGAUAUUGCCAGUGAAAUCUUUGUGGUGCAAGAAGCUGCAUCAUCAAGAUCAGUUGAGAGCAGUUCCUCUGGGUCAAUAAUGGAUCAUUGCAUAAAAGCAUCCUCAACUCUAUAUGUGCUUUGGUUUUCAAAUAAGGAUGUACAGGAAAUUCUCUCAGAUCAACAAAAUGAUGGAGCUUAUGCCCUACACCAUACAUCUUAUGGUCAGUCAUCACUGUCUGAGACCUCCACCCAGCCAAGUCUCUCUGUGCCCUCUUUCCAGCCACCGCUGUCUGAGCCCUCCACCUGCUCACUGCUGUCUGAGCCCUCCACCCAGCCACCGCUCACUCUUUUCUCACAACCACAAGAAAUCCUGACUCUUCAUGAUGAACCAUCACUCUCUCCUUCAUCUGCCCAAGAACCAAUCAUUAUUCUUGAUGAACAAGAUGAGACGGUUUCACAAAAUCAGUCUCCUGUAUCAACACAUCACCUCGGAGGACCUGUGGAUGAGUGUUUUUUUCUCAUUAACUUGACUUUAUAUUUUUUUAGUGUAUGUAGAUGUUUCAUUUUCUAUAUCCUGUUACGUUUAAUCAGGUGGUUAAAAUAAAAUGCAUGAACUUCUUUGUUUGCAGGAUUGAUCUACAGACCAUAUUGAAAAAAAAUGGUCAGCAAAGUUGAUGGAAGCUUCUGUCCAACAAGCAACCAAAUAAAUGUGUGCAGGGAUAAUGUUUUACUGUGUAGCCUGCAGGCAUUCAAGCAUAGGUUCUUCAACCCUGAAGCAAAAUUGGAUGUUGUGUUUGUGGAUGAAGAUGACAAUGGUGAAGGGGCAGUUGACGAAGGCGGCCCGACAAGAGAGUACCUAAGGCUGUUGAUGAGGGCCGUCCACCAGUCAAAUAUCUUUGAGGGACAUGAGAAAGACCAGCAGUUGUCUCUUGAUACUCAAGGCAGGGAAGCCCAAAUUCUUAGGACUGUCCUCAUUCAACUGGCAGAAUUCUAGAAAUGUAUACAUGGAAACCCAUUUAAAAAUGAUUGCUCCCUUAUUUCUCCUGUCUGAUUUAUUGUUUAUUCUGUUUGUUUUUUAUGUGUUGGGCAGGUUUCAUCCUAUGUUUAUUGUCUGUAUCGUCUUUUAUUUGUUUAGUUAUUUUGCCUUAAUUUGUUAACUCUUGGUUAGGAUUUUUCCAUGAUUCUUCUUUUCUUUAAUGUACUGAAACACCUUUUUGAAACAUGUUUUGAAAGGUGCAAUAAAAAGUUAAUCAUAAUGUUUUAACGUAUUAAAUUAACAAGCAUUACAGCAGAGCAAGAUUUUACUGUUAUUUCUUUAAUUUUAGCUUUGCAGACUAAACUUUACAUGUGGGUGGCAAAAAUGAUUGCUGUGUGUGUGGUCCAUGGAGGAGUCGGUCCACAUUUCUUUUCCGAAAGGCUUUUUCAUCAAAUCUGUGGGAUACCAACACACCCGGCCACGGUGGAUGAAGUUGGUGACCAUACUUUCAGGGAACAGUUAAUAAAAAUACAGGAAGCAACAACAGUCCGAAAGGCGAACGGUGCAAUUGCAGAGGCAGCAGAUAGUCUCAGCAUUAUAGGUGCCUUAAGACAUGUGUCCAGCCUGGAGGAGAAGGACUCCCUUGUCCAGUCAGCUGCAGACUUCUUCGUCAAUGGAAGAUUGGCGACUGCCCUGGACCAAAGGAGAAUGCAGUCCAGUCACCCUAGAGAAGGUAUUGGAGUUUACAUCUGGAGCUUCAACAGUGCCUCCACUGGGAUUUCCACACCGUCCACAAAUUCAGUUCCUUCAUGAGGGCAACAGAAUAUUCCCAGAAGCAAAUACUUGUAUUCUUGUACUCCGCCUGCUGCUGCACUCUUCCUAUGAAGCCUUCAAACAAUACAUGAUGGAGGGAAUUUUGCAAGCUCCAACCUUUGGACUUGCAUGAUGUCACUAUGUGUGUAAAACUUAUUAAUGGAAAUUCAGUUUUCACUUGAGCUAUAUUUGUGCUUAGAAGUUAUUGAAUAGAAUGCUGUUGAAGCAAGUCACUGGUUCAGAUGUUAAUUUUAGAAUCUCAUGCACUUUUAAAAAAAAAAAAAAAAUUAGAUGCAGUAAUCCUGUUCAUUUUGCAUGAGUAACAGUUCACUUCAGUUGAUUGGCGGUUAUUCAAUAUUGAGUUUUUCAGCUAACUCAAACUUGUGUAGUUUUUUUGCUUUAAAUUAUUUUUGUUUCUAACUUAUAAAAUUAUUAAUUUAUAUAUUUUAUUUGUUUUGAAAAUGUAUAUUUUCUUUAGGUUUUACAAGACAUAUAUUGGGCUUAUAGUUCAUGGUUACUAUGAUGACACUGAGGUUGAUCUAAUGAAUUAGAUAUCCUUUAUAAACCAACUGUAAGGAAUUAUUGGGCUUAUAAUUCAAUAAGUUUGAUGAAAUCACACAUAACACACAAACGGAUCAUUUUUUUUGCUUUCUACAGCUCCCACGGUGAACCCUUCUACUGUCUAUGGGUGAGCCGAGAAAACCAUAGAUGUUAAAAACGGCGGAUUUCCCCUUUAACGUUAAUGCAUAUGAUAAUACAUGAAUACAGUGAUAAACAGACUCACCUGAACUAAUGCGCCUGACAGAGAAACGUCUGUCUUCCCCAGCAUGGAAAUUUGCGUCUAUUAGAGUUUUCAGUUGAGCCAAACUGCUUUUGAGUUCAUUGUUUGUGUCUGGUGAUAGCAAAUGCUCAAUUCUUCCGAGAUUUCUUUCACAGUUUUCAAUAGAACGACGUUCUCUCUCUCCACAAAUCCCCUGUGUGAGGGCUCGUUGAAUUUCAUGCCAUUUUCUGGUGUUUUUUUCGAUUACAGCCAACGCCAUGACUGCUUCUUUCUUCUUCUAUUCAUAGAAAUAAGGAAAUGAUCCCCUUCACGGGGAAGGGAAAUUACAUAUUUAUGGAUAUCUAAAAUAGAGCAACGUCAUGCACAAUAAUUUGCACUAGUCAUAAUGACGUUUGAGAUAUCUUUAACUUUCAUUCUGCCUAGGCAAAACUGAAUUACAGAUAUCUGCAAUUGUCAUUUAAGAUGUGUGACGAGUUGAAUGUCGUUUUCAAUGACGUCAUUGCAGAUAUCUGUAAUUCAGUUUUGCCUAGUCAAAACUGCAUUACAGAUAUCUUUCUCUGUCAUUUCGACUAGUCACAAUUACGUUACAGAUAUCUUGAAUGACAAUUCCAACUAUCCAAAAUGUAAUUACGACUAGUCAGAAAGACGUUGGUGAUAUCUACAAUGUUAAUUCCGGAUAGUCAAACUUAACUUUUAAAUGUUAAAAUGGCUUGCCAUAAUUACCUGCACUGUGUGCCAUUUUAUGCUCAACACAUUCACAAAACCUAAAGUAAAACGGUGACGUCACGAUGAUCGCCAAACUCGAACAUGUACAUCAACAGAUCCUCCUUUUGCUGUUUAUUUACAAUCCGAAUCACGUUACUUGUAAAAGUAUCAUGUCAUAUUAAAAGACAAACGGAUUCAGGUAAGUGAUUCUUAUUUCGAAAGAAAUUUUGAAAAAAGAAGCAUAAAUAUAAUGAAACUAUACAUUAUAUUUAUGCUUCUUAUUUCAAAAUUAAUUUUCAUUUUAUUAUCUUACCUUACAGAUGUGUAUUAUAUAUUAUUUAUACUACUUCUAAGCACCAGUAUACCAAGACAAAUUCCCUGUACAUGUAACCCACAGUACUUGGCAAUAAAGCUGAUUCUGAAAAGAUAGAGAAAUGAAAGUUUCAAUUUUAAGUCUUAAGACAUUAAGUACUUGAUUGUACUUCUUAUUAAAGCACUACUUAUAUACAUAACACACUUCCUUCAGGAAAGCUACACUGUUUUUAAUAGACAAAACUGAGUGUUGAUAUAUGUCAUGUAUAAUGAAAAUAAACAGAAAAAUGCUGUUAAUGGAUACCUGUUAAAUAUGCAAUAAAACAUAAAGGUUGUCAGUCGUAUGUUCAUAGUUCAGAAAUAAUGAAUUAAAGUUAAAAUACUGUGUAACGGCCCCAGACCAAAUAUAUUUUAAUGUAUAACAGCCAUCAUUUGAAACUUGUGGCUUAAACAUGAUCAACUUUUCAACCCACAGAGACUUUUUUUUUUCCAAUUACAUGCUCAAUAAAUUCAGUAUUUACAUUUUGCAUACAUAACUUUUGCAACAUAAAAAGCUGUUAUGUAAUAAAUGAAAAUCAAGAAAAUUAAUUCUCUUAGUUUAAUUAGAGUCUCACGUAUGGAGUCAUUGUUUGUCUCCAAUAGCUAUAAUCAAAACUAAUUAUGUGUUACAAUUACUAUACAAUAAUUAUUGUAACACUAUACAGAAAGAUGAUGAGAAUGAUGAUGUAUUUCAUUACACUGCAAAUGUCAAUGUU